AUCUACAGCCGUGCCACCUUGAACAAGCCCAAUCCCGUCUGAUCUCGGAAGCUAAGCAGAGUCGAGCGUGGUUAGUACUUGGAUGGGAGACCACCUAGGAAGACCAGGUGCUGUAGGCG
Molecule: non-coding RNA, 119 nt
Organism: Pteropus alecto (black flying fox)
Lineage: Eukaryota; Metazoa; Chordata; Mammalia; Chiroptera; Pteropodidae
Source: Rfam